CUACAUUUCUGUCCCCGUUCCCCAUUCUCCCAUGGUGGCCACAUCCCUCACCCCACAGCCUGGCGCCCUUUCUCAUGAACGCCGGCGCUCACUGGUCCGGCCAACGCUCCCCUUCGUCACCACCGCCGGUACUCCCUGGUCAGGUGGAGGCUCCCCUUCGCAGUCGCUGCUCUUCCUCCCCUUCAUGUCGAAUCGGUCACCGAAGUGGCCGGGGAGGCCCUCGAGGUCGGCAUGCUCGCACCAGCGCUAGGCGCCGGUGGAGGCAGAGGCGGAGGCGUGGCACUCGCAUGCGCCUUCUCUACCCCGCUCCUUCUCCGAAUCCGGUGGCCGAAGUGCUCGAGGAGGCGCUCGAGCUCGGCAUGCUCGCCGGCGACGGGCUUCUCGCUCCUCCGGAUGCCCUCGCCGUCGCCGCCAUGAGCCUCUCCAUCCUCUCUUGCGCGGUCGUCUGGGCCCAGGAAAGUCUCUCUCUCCAACCCCGCCGCCUGCUCCACCCCUGUAAAUUCGGUUCGUCGCCAGGUGCAUCGCCUCAUUGAGAAAUCACCAUGAAUGUUCCCAAGACCAUGUCUAAUUUACUCUGUUAUAGGGCUUUGUUAGAAAAGCUGAUUUAACUAAGUAUUAUUCUGCUCUAGAUUGCAGCACUGGUUGACAUGAUACAAUAUCUUUUCAAAAGAUGAUACAUUAUCUUCAUGAAAGAAAGGAAGUUGGAGAAGUUAUUAUUUAAGAGGAAUUCAGUGUCAUGUGGUUCUCAAGAGCUAAAAUGGAACAACAAGUGCAAGCCUGUCAUGCCUACACUAACUAAUCAGAUUUCCCGAGGGAGAAGAAGGAGGUGCCGAAAGGGUAUGGGAGUAACAAGUCUGAAUCGAAGAGUAUAUAUGUUUUGAUUUUGAGUUGCAUUGCCCAGUAUUUUUAUUGUUCUAAGAAAUCCAUGGAGAUGUCUAUGGAACAUUUCCUUGAUGUGAUAGGCAUAUUUGUUUACCACAUUCAGUUGUUGGCCCUGCUGUUGACGUCCAUGGUGGCGCUGAUGAUGAUCUUGGCAAGGAUUUGAUGUAUCUGCCUGGGGUCUUGGUAUGUCCUUGAGCACGCAUCAGGUAUGUAUGUAUCUGUUUGUAUAUUAGUGCAGUUUGUAGUUCAUUCGGUGCAUGUCCCUAAACCAAAGAAUUUUAGACAUCUCAAGUAGCAAAUUACAUGGUUUGGUGUGUCAUACAUGAUUUAAUAGAAAGCACCACCACAGCCUUGCGUGUGCUUGUAUAGCUACAUGGUGUUUCAGAGCAGCACUCUAUAAUUUGGCACAUGGCUUCAUGAUUUAUCGUAGCCGCUUCACAGGGUGCAUGCCUAUGAGUGUCUAUGUAUGUGCAUGUGUACUCGUCAUAGGACCGAGCUGAAACUAAUUAUGAUUAAUUUGCCCAUUCUGUGAUGUGCGCUUACGUGAAUACCAUUGGCACCUUUGUAAAUUCUCUAAGCUAAAUCCAAUAUUUCAGGUGUUCUUUGACCACUCAAUUCACCUUUGUAAAUUCUGAAAGCCAACUAUUUUGACACCAGGCCAAUUCAGUUAGUUACAAAAUUGCAGUAGCCAAAACACUCUUCAGAAUUCUGAUCAUCCUCUUCUUGCUCCCCUGAAUCUGUGUCAUCUAGCUCCCCUUCUUCCAGCUCCACCUAGAAAAUGGUAGAGCAUUCCUUGUAAAAUAGGUACAUACUUUUCAGCACAAAUGGAGUAUGGAAACAAGAAAAAUACUUUGCAGGGAUAACCAGAACAUCAUUCUUAGGUUACCAAGUUGAUCCAAUUGUAUAAAUAACUAACAGAACACAUUGUUGGGUCAAAUUAGAAAAUCCCAUCCAUCUCCCCAUGAACUGAAAGAAUUUGCAGGCCACAAGUGUCCGCGAGCAUCAAACCAACACAUUCAAAGAACAUACGACUGCAGCUGAUCCGACAGCUAAGCCAAGAACUCAUAGCCCCUACGAACUGAGUGCAUGCAACAUGGCAAGAACAAAACAAAUAAAUGAACAGGGUCUUGAAUCUUACACAUGGU
Molecule: long non-coding RNA, 2027 nt
Organism: Triticum dicoccoides
Lineage: Eukaryota; Viridiplantae; Streptophyta; Magnoliopsida; Poales; Poaceae
Exons: 3
Source: RefSeq, a predicted model, not a curated record